Molecule: long non-coding RNA, 775 nt
Organism: Homo sapiens (human)
Lineage: Eukaryota; Metazoa; Chordata; Mammalia; Primates; Hominidae
Source: Ensembl
CCGCCUCAUUUCCCACUACUUCCCGCACUUUUACCCUUUUGCGGAGCCUGCCCUGCACCCUCCGAACCUGCGCCCCGCAGCGGCGUCCGCCGUCCGCUCUGCACCCCAGCUGCAGCCCGACCCAGAGCCAGAAGGAGACUCAGACGACAGCACUGCCCUGGGCACCCUGGAGUUCACACUUCUUUUUGAAGCGGACAACAGUGCCCUGCAUUGCACGGCUCAUCGUGCCAAGGGCCUCAAGCCAUUGGCCUCAGGCUCCGCGGAUGCCUAUGUCAAAGCCAAUCUGCUGCCAGGGGCCAGCAAGGCCAGCCAGCUUCGGACACACACCGUUCGGGGCACGAGGGUACCUGUCUGGGAGGAGACACUCACCUAUCACGGCUUCACCCGCCAGGAUGCUGAGUGCAAGACCCUUAGGCUGUGUGUGUGCGAGGACCCAUGGUACAGCGACAGUGGCAGGCACCUUCCCUGGGGGAGCUGCGGGUGCCCCUGAGGAAGCUGGUGCCAAACCGAGCCAGGAGCUUUGACAUCUGUCUGGAGAAGCGGAGGCUGGCCAAGAGGCCCAAGAGCCUGGACACAGCCUGUGGCAUGUCCCUCUAUGAGGAGGAGGUGGAGACAGAGGUGGCCUGGGAGGAAUGUGGGCACGUCCUACUGUCACUGUGCUACAGCUCUCAGCAGGGUGGCUUGCUGGAAUUCUUUUACUCAGGCCCACGGGAGGAGCUGGCCCAGAAGACGCUGCUGGUGUCUGUGUGGGACUAUGACCUAGGCACGGCUGAUG